AGCUUAUCUAUGAUGUUUUAAAAAUAAAUGUCUGAACAUAUGACUUCAUUAGUGAUUUCAAUGUAUAACUGAGAUAAGCG
Molecule: small nucleolar RNA, 80 nt
Filed under: Leptobrachium leishanense (Leishan spiny toad)
Lineage: Eukaryota; Metazoa; Chordata; Amphibia; Anura; Megophryidae
Description: Small nucleolar RNA SNORD72 (ENSLLEG00000002453.1)
Rfam family: Small nucleolar RNA SNORD72
About the family: snoRNA HBII-240 belongs to the CD family of snoRNAs. It is the human orthologue of the mouse MBII-240 and is predicted to guide 2'O-ribose methylation of the large 28S rRNA at residue U4590.
Source: Rfam by way of RNAcentral